UCGUUACAAGGGCAAACCAUCCGAAAGGAUGGGACGCAAAGCCACCUGCCUGGGGUCGCAAGACGACGGUAGAGGGGCCGCAGAA
RNAcentral lists this non-coding RNA (85 nucleotides) under Candidatus Muproteobacteria. RNAcentral describes it as "c-di-GMP sequence". It matches the Rfam family "c-di-GMP-I riboswitch aptamer". From Rfam's summary of the family: GEMM was predicted in a large-scale screen for bacterial structured RNA regulatory elements. Genes associated with GEMM are involved in a diverse array of functions, including chemotaxis regulation, signal transduction, secretion and chitin. Lineage: Bacteria; Pseudomonadati; Pseudomonadota. The record is from RNAcentral.